This 532-nucleotide ribosomal RNA is filed under the name uncultured bacterium. RNAcentral's name for it is "partial 16S ribosomal RNA". It matches the Rfam family "Bacterial small subunit ribosomal RNA", at positions 355 to 900 of the family's 1533-position model. The record is from RNAcentral.
UGGGGAAUAUUGCACAAUGGGCGAAAGCCUGAUGCAGCAACGCCGCGUGAGUGAUGAAGGCCUUCGGGUUGUAAAGCUCUGUCUUUUGGGACGAUAAUGACGGUACCAAAGGAGGAAGCCACGGCUAACUACGUGCCAGCAGCCGCGGUAAUAUGUAGGUGGCAAGCGUUUGUCCGGGAUUUACUGGGCGUAAAGGAUGCGUAGGCGGAUUUUUAAGUGAGAUGUGAAAACCCUAAGCUUAACUUGGGGACUGCAUUUCAUACUGGAAAUCUAGAGUGCGGGAGAGGAGAAUGGAAUUCCUAGUGUAGCGGUGAAAUGCGUAGAGAUUAGGAAGAACACCAGUGGCGAAGGCGAUUCUCUGGACCGUAACUGACGCUGAGGCAUGAAAGCGUGGGUAGCAAACAGGAUUAGAUACCCUGGUAGUCCACGCCGUAAACGAUGAGUACUAGGUGUAGGAGGUAUCGACCCCUUCUGUGCCGCAGUUAACACAAUAAGUACUCCGCCUGGGAAGUACGAUCGCAAGAUUAAAAAC